AUUGAACGCUGGCGGCAGGCCUAACACAUGCAAGUCGAACGGUAACAGGAAGAGGCUUGCUUCUUUGCUGACGAGUGGCGGACGGGUGAGUCAUGUCUGGGAAACUGCCUGAUGGAGGGGGAUAACUACUGGAAACGGUAGCUAAUACCGCAUAACUUUGCAAGACCAAAAAGGGGGACUUUCGGGCCUCUUUCCAUCGGAUUUGCCCAGAUGGGAUUAGCUAGUAGGUGGGGUAACGGCUCACCGAGGCGACGAUCCCUAGCUGGUCUGAGAGGGUGACCAGCCACACUGGAACUGAGACACGGUCCAGACUCCUACGGGAGGCAGCAGUGGGGAAUCUUGCGCAAUGGGCGCAAGCCUGAUGGAGCCACGCCGCGUGUAUGAAGAAGGCCUUCGGGUUGUAAAGUACUUUCAGCGGGGAGGAAGGGAGUAAAGUUAAUCCCUGUGCACAUUGACGUUACCCGAAGAAGAAGCACCGGCUAACUCCGUG
RNAcentral lists this ribosomal RNA (490 nucleotides) under uncultured bacterium. RNAcentral's name for it is "partial 16S ribosomal RNA". It matches the Rfam family "Bacterial small subunit ribosomal RNA", at positions 30 to 507 of the family's 1533-position model. The record is from RNAcentral.